RNAcentral lists this non-coding RNA (82 nucleotides) under bovine gut metagenome. RNAcentral describes it as "TPP riboswitch (THI element)". It matches the Rfam family "TPP riboswitch aptamer (THI element)", at positions 10 to 89 of the family's 105-position model. Rfam says of the family: Vitamin B(1) in its active form thiamin pyrophosphate (TPP) is an essential coenzyme that is synthesised by coupling of pyrimidine and thiazole moieties in bacteria. The previously detected thiamin-regulatory element, thi box was extended, resulting in a new, highly conserved RNA secondary structure, the THI element, which is widely distributed in eubacteria and also occurs in some archaea. Analysis of operon structures identified a large number of new candidate thiamin-regulated genes, mostly transporters, in various prokaryotic organisms. The record is from RNAcentral.
CACAGGGGCGCCUUCGGGCUGAGACGGCAUCGCGCCGGACCCUUUAACCUGAUACGGGUAAUGCCGGCGUAGGGAGCUUGAU